This is a long non-coding RNA of Acanthochromis polyacanthus (spiny chromis), 1627 nucleotides long. RefSeq lists it as uncharacterized. The transcript is spliced from 4 exons. The record is from RefSeq and is a predicted model, not a curated record. NCBI's taxonomy places the organism in Eukaryota, Metazoa, Chordata, Actinopteri, Pomacentridae.
AAGAAUGCCGGCUCAUUGUGCGGCAUACAGUUCCACACUACAUCGGACGAUCAAGACAAGGAAACUUGGAAUAACUUUCCACAGGGUGGGGAAAAUGUUGCUGUGGCCCAUUACAUGGUGAGCCAGAGAGGAACAGGGCGACAUUCCCACAUCACUGGACGCAGUGUACAUAAUCAAAGAAUUAAAAGAUUAUGGCGAGAUGUGUAUGGAAAUGUCCUUGACUUGUUCCACACACUAUUUCUCAAUUUGGAAGUGGAAGGGUUUCUAAACCCUGAAAAUGAACUGGAGUUAUUCGUUCUCCACUGGACCUACGUCCCACAGCUGCAGCAGCAUCUUCAGGCAUUCAAGGAAGCCUGGACUCACCAUAGUUUGAGGACAGAGAGGUUGCUGCUGAUUAUGGGAUAGACUGGACAGGACCUCACACCCCAUACCCAGAAGGCGUCACUGUACCUGAUGCACAACUACCCCAACAGCUUACACAGGCUGAAGUUACAUCAUUGCCUGAUCCGGCCGUCCCUUUUUCUGCUGCACUACGGGCAUACAUGGAUACAGUGUAUAUUCUUAAGGACAUUUUUCAACAAACCUAGACAUAUCACAACUCACCUUAACAGAAUCAGAAUGAAACGAACAAGAUUCAAAAGAAUGCUGCAAAUUUUUGGUGCAUAAUUUUAUGACCAGUUGUGAAUUUCAAAUAAAUGCCUUUGAAAACAACAAUGUACAAAGACACAGCAAAGGGAUAUAAAACUGCUUUUAUUGCAUGCUGAAUAGUUUGACAGUUUUUAAAAGCAUCAAAACAAUGUGCCAAUAAAAAGGUUUUUUAAUAGAACUGACAAUUAUUUUCUUGAACUUCCAAACAUUUAUAUUACAACUGUUCUCCAAAGACAGUCUUCCACAAGUGUGGAAACAUUUUGUUGUCGCAGAAAUGCACAAACCUGAACCAUCAUUUUUGAAUCUUUCACAUAAAAAUAAGCUAUUUCAUUAAUUCACUCUCUCAACUCUCACCUUUAAACUGUCUUCUUACAACAACUCACAGGCCGCCACAUUUCUGUUACAUGUUAAAUGUCACACACAACAAUUUGAGCCUGACAGCAGCAAAAACAAGAACUGUUGUGAACCUUCUUCUGAAGCAUGUAUUAGCCUCACAAGCUUACAUCACAUCAGAACAAUUGUCAAAACAACUACACAUAUCUGUUUUAACAUUUUAUGUGUUUUGGUAGCAUUAUUUGGACUCUCACACAACAUACGAGAUGGUAAGCCAUACUGAGCAACAGCUGACCUGAACAGUGGUGGAGUUGUUUGUAGCUGCUCCUAUGUAAACUAUGAGCCUGCUAAAUCCAUCCACUCCUGCAUGGAUCACGAUUCGCCAUCUAUAAAAGUCACAGUGAAAAUAUGAAUAGAAAUUUAUAAUUAUAGGUAGUUACAGCAAUGCUACAGUAAUAAGGAACAAGGACAAAUUAUCUCAAUAAAUGCAACGUAAAGACAACCACAAUUACAAUAAACAACAGAAUUAUUAUUAAUAAUAAUUAUUAUUUAUUUAUCUCUCUCUCUAGGCUGUUAUAUACUUGCAGCAAACCCCUCUCUCCUCAGAGCUGCUUCCACUUCUUCCUCAGCCCAUAGUCUUUGGGAA